RNAcentral lists this ribosomal RNA (460 nucleotides) under uncultured bacterium. RNAcentral describes it as "partial 16S ribosomal RNA". It matches the Rfam family "Bacterial small subunit ribosomal RNA", at positions 338 to 795 of the family's 1533-position model. The record is from RNAcentral.
CCUACGGGAGGCAGCAGUGAGGAAUCUUGGUCAAUGGACGAGAGUCUGAACCAGCCAAGUAGCGUGAAGGAUGACUGCCCUAUGGGUUGUAAACUUCUUUUAUAUGGGAAUAAAAUGUUCCACGUGUGGGAUUUUGUAUGUACCAUAUGAAUAAGGAUCGGCUAACUCCGUGCCAGCAGCCGCGGUAAUACGGAGGAUCCGAGCGUUAUCCGGAUUUAUUGGGUUUAAAGGGAGCGUAGGUGGAUUGUUAAGUCAGUUGUGAAAGUUUGCGGCUCAACCGUAAAAGUGCAGUUGAAACUGGCAGUCUUGAGUACAGUAGAGGUGGGCGGAAUUCGUGGUGUAGCGGUGAAAUGCUUAGAUAUCACGAAGAACUCCGAUUGCGAAGGCAGUUCACUGGACUGCAACUGACACUGAGGCUCGAAAGUGUGGGUAUCAAACAGGAUUAGAUACCCCAGUAGUC